Molecule: non-coding RNA, 495 nt
Organism: Paramuricea clavata
Lineage: Eukaryota; Metazoa; Cnidaria; Anthozoa; Malacalcyonacea; Plexauridae
Source: the annotation of a GenBank genome assembly
CUCGUGAAAGUGAAUUUGACAGUUGUAAAAAUUAUACAGCGAAUUUUUUGUGUAUUCUGACUCAUCUUUUUUUCCUCACUUCGAUCAGCAUAAAAGCUUUUGAGAACCGAAGCAAGUUCUUCGCUAUUCUCUGGAUGGCCAAGCUUCUUUUCUCGUAGAUACUCUUCAAAAAUCGCUUUGCUUGCUUUUGUAGCUUUUUUUGUGUUUGCUGAGUCUUUUUCUUCCAGCAAUUUUUUUAUUUCAGCUUCCCCAAGGUCCGCGAACCUUUCCUUUGAGGAAGCCAUUUGUAUUUUCCCGCUUUUGGCAUAUAAGCAGCAUAAAUUAGUGUGACGUCAUAAUGUCGUAUAUGUGUUUUCAAUAUACGACCAAAUUACGUCAUAAUGUCUUAUAUGUGUUUUCAAUAUUCAAUGGUGAUGUCAUAACUCCAAAUUUGGGCAACUACCGAACGGAUAUGACGAUUUCAUCCACAGCUCUUAACCAAUCAAAACUCUUGAA